RNAcentral lists this ribosomal RNA (468 nucleotides) under uncultured bacterium. RNAcentral describes it as "partial 16S ribosomal RNA". It matches the Rfam family "Bacterial small subunit ribosomal RNA", at positions 28 to 507 of the family's 1533-position model. The record is from RNAcentral.
GACGAACGCUGGCGGCGUGCUUAACACAUGCAAGUCGAACGGAAAGGCCCUGCUUUUGUGGGGUGCUCGAGUGGCGAACGGGUGAGUAACACGUGAGUAACCUGCCCUUUACUUUGGGAUAACUUCAGGAAACUGGUGCUAAUACCGGAUAUGAGCUCCUGCUGCAUGGUGGUGGUUGGAAAGUUUCGGCGGUUGGGGAUGGACUCGCGGCUUAUCAGCUUGUUGGUGGGGUAGUGGCUUACCAAGGGUUUGACGGGUAGACGGCCUGAGAGGGUGACCGGCCACAUUGGGACUGAGAUACGGCCAAGACUCAUACGGGAGGCAGCAGUGGGGAAUAUUGCAGAAUGGGCGGAAGCAUGAUGAAGAAAAGCAGCGUGCGGGAUGACGGCCUUCGGGUUGUAAACAGAUUUAGAAUGAGAAGAAGAGUGAGUGACGGUAAUGGGUAAAGAAGCACCGGCUAACUACGUG